CCCUUGACUUUGGGAUAACUUCAGGAAACUGGGGCUAAUACCGGAUAGGAGCUCCUGCUGCAUGGUGGGGGUUGGAAAGUUUCGGCGGUUGGGGAUGGGCUCGCGGCUUAUCAGCUUGUUGGUGGGGUAGUGGCUUACCAAGGCUUUGACGGGUAGCCGGCCUGAGAGGGUGACCGGCCACAUUGGGACUGAGAUACGGCCCAG
This 204-nucleotide ribosomal RNA is filed under the name uncultured Actinomycetales bacterium. RNAcentral describes it as "partial 16S ribosomal RNA". It matches the Rfam family "Bacterial small subunit ribosomal RNA", at positions 129 to 334 of the family's 1533-position model. The record is from RNAcentral. Lineage: Bacteria; Bacillati; Actinomycetota; Actinomycetes; Actinomycetales.